RNAcentral lists this non-coding RNA (800 nucleotides) under Prionotropis hystrix. RNAcentral describes it as "small subunit ribosomal RNA". The stretch from base 344 to 789 matches the Rfam family "Microsporidia small subunit ribosomal RNA", at positions 752 to 1303 of the family's 1311-position model. Lineage: Eukaryota; Metazoa; Arthropoda; Insecta; Orthoptera; Pamphagidae. The record is from RNAcentral.
UUAAAGUUUUAUUCUUGCUUAUUUAUUCACUUUUUCUUUGAGUUAUAUGUUAGUUUUGUUUUAACUAAAUGUUCCUAUUGCAGUAAUUUGAUUUAAUUUAUCAAGUAAUUUUGGAAUUAGCAAUUGUCUUAGUUUUGGCAUAAUUCGUGCCAGCAGCCGCGGUUAUACGAUUAAUGCAAGUGAAUAUUUUUGGUUUAACAGUUAUUUAUAUUUUAGGGUUUAAAUUUGGAUUUAUAAGGUGAAAUUUUAAAUUUUUAAAUAGCUCUUAUUAUGAAUCUGUGAAACUUAAAUUAGAAACUAGGAUUAGAUACCCUAUUAUUUUAAGUGUAAAUAUUAUUUGCCUGGGUACUAUUAGUUAAGAUCUUAAAACCCAAAGAAUUUGGCGGUACUCCAUUCCAUUCAGAGGAACCUACCCCGUGAUUGAUAGUACACGAUUAACUUUACUUAAUUUAUUUGUUUGUAUAUCUCCGUUAUCAGAAAAUCUUUUUAGAGUUAUAAUUUUCAGAAUUCAUGAUUUUGAAGUAUUUCAGGUCAAGGUGCAGCUUAUAAUUAAGAGGAGGUGGGUUACAAUAAAUUUUGGUUUAUUACGGUUUCAAUAAUUAAAUAUUAUAGAUUAAGGUGGAUUUGAUAGUAAUUUGAUUUAUUUAAGUCUUUUGAUAUUGGUUCUGGAGUGUGUACACAUCGCCCGUCACUCUCAUUAUUGAUUAAUUAACUUAUUUUUAUUAUAGUACAUGAUCAAACUAAAUGAGAUAAGUCGUAACAUAGUAGAUGUACUGGAAAGUGUAUCUGGAAAGUUAAAU